Molecule: long non-coding RNA, 227 nt
Filed under: Mytilus galloprovincialis (Mediterranean mussel)
Lineage: Eukaryota; Metazoa; Mollusca; Bivalvia; Mytilida; Mytilidae
Source: RNAcentral
CAAGUUAUUGCCUGUAAUCUAGAAAAAUGCUUCUUUUUGGCCCCUUAUUCCUAAAUGUUCAAGGAUAUUAACCCCAAACUAAAUCAAAGCCUUUCCUUCGUUAUAUGGAACCUUGUUGUACAAUGUCAGACAGAUCCAUACAGUUAUACAUAAGUUAUUGUCCCGAAACUACAAAAAUGCUUGUGUUUGGCCCCUUUUUGGUCCUUAAUUCCUAGACUGUUUGCCCC